CGACUUUCAGCAAUGGAUGUCUUGGCUCCCACAACGAUGAAGAACGCAGCGAAAUGCGAUACGUAAGCGAAUUGCAGAGUCCAGCGAGUCAUCAAAUGUUCGAACGCACCUGGCGCUUUCGGGAUAUUCCUGGAAGCAUGCUUGUUAGAGUGUCUGUU
This 158-nucleotide ribosomal RNA is filed under the name Vacuolaria virescens. Its description in RNAcentral is "5.8S ribosomal RNA". It matches the Rfam family "5.8S ribosomal RNA". Rfam says of the family: 5.8S ribosomal RNA (5.8S rRNA) is a component of the large subunit of the eukaryotic ribosome. It is transcribed by RNA polymerase I as part of the 45S precursor that also contains 18S and 28S rRNA. Functionally, it is thought that 5.8S rRNA may be involved in ribosome translocation. The record is from RNAcentral. Lineage: Eukaryota; Raphidophyceae; Chattonellales; Vacuolariaceae.